Gallus gallus (chicken) is the source of this 387-nucleotide non-coding RNA. The record is from the annotation of a RefSeq genome assembly. NCBI's taxonomy places the organism in Eukaryota, Metazoa, Chordata, Aves, Galliformes, Phasianidae.
GGGCUGAUGGCGGCCGUGACGUUGGACGAGUCCGGGGGCGGCCUCCAGACGCCCGGAGGAGGGCUCAGCCUCGUCUGCAAGGCCUCCAGGUUCACCUUCAGCAGUUACAGCAUGGGUUGGGUGCGACAGGCGCCCGGCAAAGGGCUGGAAUGGGUCGCUGGUAUUCAGAGUGAUGGUAGUGACACAACAUACGGGCCGGCGGUGGAUGGCCGUGCCACCAUCUCGAGGGACAACGGGCAGAGCACAGUGAGGCUGCAGCUGAACAACCUCAGGGCUGAGGACACCGGCACCUACUACUGCACCAGAGCUCCUUGUAGUGCUACUUGGAGUUGUGGUACUUGGAGUUAUGCUUAUCGUAUCAACAGAGAGAGAUCAGAGCCCAAGUGA